GACGCACGCUGGCGGCGUGCCUAAUACAUGCAAGUUGAGCGCUGAAGGUUGGUACUUGUACCAACUGGAUGAGCAGCGAACGGGUGAGUAACGCGUGGGGAAUCUGCCUUUGAGCGGGGGACAACAUUUGGAAACGAAUGCUAAUACCGCAUAAAAACUUUAAACACAAGUUUUAAGUUUGAAAGAUGCAAUUGCAUCACUCAAAGAUGAUCCCGCGUUGUAUUAGCUAGUUGGUGAGGUAAAGGCUCACCAAGGCGAUGAUACAUAGCCGACCUGAGAGGGUGAUCGGCCACAUUGGGACUGAGACACGGCCCAAACUCCUACGGGAGGCAGCAGUAGGGAAUCUUCGGCAAUGGACGAAAGUCUGACCGAGCAACGCCGCGUGAGUGAAGAAGGGUUUCGGAUCGUAAAACUCUGUUGGUAGAGAAGAACGUUGGUGAGAGUGGAAAGCUCAUCAAGUGACGGUAACUACCCAGAAAGGGACGGCUAACUACGUG
RNAcentral lists this ribosomal RNA (497 nucleotides) under uncultured bacterium. RNAcentral describes it as "partial 16S ribosomal RNA". It matches the Rfam family "Bacterial small subunit ribosomal RNA", at positions 28 to 507 of the family's 1533-position model. The record is from RNAcentral.